GGCGGACGGGUAAGUAACGCGUAAGAACUUGCCCUUUAGACUGGGAUAACAGAGGGAAACUUCUGAUAAUACUGGAUAAGUUAGUAUAUCGCAUGAUAUGCAAAUGAAAGCUACGGCACUAAAGGAGAGUUUUGCGUCCUAUUAGCUAGUUGGUAAGGUAAGAGCUUACCAAGGCGAUGAUAGGUAGCCGGCCUGAGAGGGUGGACGGCCACAAGGGGACUGAGAUACGGCCCUUACUCCUACGGGAGGCAGCAGCG
Molecule: ribosomal RNA, 257 nt
Filed under: uncultured Leptotrichia sp.
Lineage: Bacteria; Fusobacteriati; Fusobacteriota; Fusobacteriia; Fusobacteriales; Leptotrichiaceae
Description: partial 16S ribosomal RNA
Rfam family: Bacterial small subunit ribosomal RNA
Source: RNAcentral